UCCCGGAGCUCCAGCAAGGGCUCAGGCAGAGUGGCAGUGCCAGGCCCAGUGGGUGGGGGAAUAGGGUCACUGUCGGAGGGGCCACUGCCCACUUCCGUGCUGCUGGUGUCCCGAUCACUGCUGCCUGCGCUAGGGCGAACCAGGUCGCUGCUGGUGGGGCUGGGUGUUCGGGUGGCAUUGGUGCUGGGAGUGGUGCUGAGGUAGCAGCUGUUGUCGUCGUCCUCUUCGGUGGGGGUGGUGACGUCCCCUGGGGUCUCGUCGCUGCCACCAAAGGAAGCAUAGUCCACGAACGAGUAGAUCACGUUGUUGUCCUCGAAAUCCCAGCGGGAGGCCAGCCCCACAUCGAAAUCCAUGUCCUGCUCCACCUCACUCAGCUGGAUCUCAUGGGUGGUGAUGUAGGGAGGAGGAGGAGGAGUUGCCACCCUCAUCAGUGCAGGAGAGUUGGGAUCUGGAGCGUUUGGAGGAAGCAUGGUUCUUCUGGGGGGUUGGAGUUUUGCACUCCGGACUACUGAGCUCAUCCUGGGCUUUCUCCUUUGGGCUCUUAGCGACUUUCUGAUCCCCGGAGCGGUGUUCCAGUUCUGGCCUGCGAGUUCGGCUCAGGAGUGGCGGCUUCCAUUCUGAGUCCUUGCCCAGGUUUCAGCGACAGGAAGAGGCAGUGGUGAGCUCCUCCGGGGCUGUCUUGGGUCCCUCUCUGGUCCUGGAGGGGCCGCAGUGUUGCCUGAAGCAGGGUCCCACGUGCCUGGACUGUUCCCAAGGCUGUAGGCACCACUGCCACUGCUGCCACCACCUCCGAGGUCUUCAGCCCCUGUGGCGGGACUGCAGCAAACCUGAGGGAGGUGGGAAGGCUCCUGGAUGGGGAGGCAGAGGUGGUCUGUGGCUGGGGGGCUGCUGCUCUGGCCGAGACUGCGGCCAGUGACCCGUGACUGAGCUCACCUGUCCAGUUAUUUGCCUGGCACCGUGGGCAGCUGGGGGUCUGAAUGCCAUCAGCCACGGAAGAAGCAGCAUCUGUAGGUCGACCCCUGUACUCCCAGAAAUGAAAGCAAAGCAUGUGCUGUUUCUUGUGAAGCCUCGUCCCUUUCCUGGAUGGGGCAAGAGAGGGUCACGUCAUUCCAGAAAUAUUUUUAGUGUCCAUUCCCUAGUCAUAUCAAAACCACACUUGAGGGUAGAGGGAAGAGGCUCUGGAGAGAUGAAAAGAGAGGCUGGGGGUGGAGGCAUGAAGGUUCCAAUUCAAAUCAGCCAAAUGUCCUAUGUAAUCUAUUACAGAGAUGUCUAGCAAGUAUGCAAUUAUUCUUUACUCCUUGCCAUCUUUCUCUCCCCAGCCUCUGAUUAAAUGGAUUUCCCCCCUUGUUCUUAAACACAAUUCAUAUUUUGCACUGCACUUCAAAUCAAUUGAGGACACUCUGGAAAUACUUCAAAAUCUCCUUCAUACAUAUGGUAGCUUUAUAUUUGCUUCAAAAUGGUUGUGUUUUCUUUCUUUGGAGAGCCAGAUCGGAAGAGUUCUGGUAAUAAAACUUUUCAUUGGAAAACAAUAUUUCAUCCCUCUUUCCCCAA
Sciurus carolinensis (gray squirrel) is the source of this 1551-nucleotide long non-coding RNA. RefSeq lists it as uncharacterized. The record is from RefSeq and is a predicted model, not a curated record. Lineage: Eukaryota; Metazoa; Chordata; Mammalia; Rodentia; Sciuridae. The transcript has 3 exons.